RNAcentral lists this ribosomal RNA (509 nucleotides) under uncultured bacterium. RNAcentral describes it as "bacterial SSU rRNA". It matches the Rfam family "Bacterial small subunit ribosomal RNA", at positions 29 to 514 of the family's 1533-position model. The record is from RNAcentral.
AGCGAACGUUAGCGGCGGGCCUAACACAUGCAAGUCGAACGCGAAAGGUCUUCGGACUGAGUAGAGUGGCGCACGGGUGAGUAACACGUAGGUAAUCUACCCUUUGGCGGGGGAUAACGUUCCGAAAGGAGCGCUAAUACCGCAUAAGACCACGUGGUCUCCGGACCGAGUGGGAAAAGGUGGCCUCUUCUUGAAAGCUACCACCGAAGGAUGAGCCUGCGUCCCAUCAGCUAGUUGGUAAGGUAAUGGCUUACCAAGGCAAAGACGGGUAGCUGGUUUGAGAGAAUGAUCAGCCACACUGGCACUGGAACACGGGCCAGACUCCUACGGGAGGCAGCAGUGAGGAAUAUUGGGCAAUGGGCGAAAGCCUGACCCAGCCACGCCGCGUGAGUGAUGAAGGCCCUCGGGUCGUAAAGCUCUGUGGAGAGGGACGAAAAACCCUGGUUUCAAAUAGGCUCCAAGCUUGACGGUACCUCUUUAGCAAGCACCGGCUAACUCUGUGCCAGCAG